UUCUUCUUCUCUUCUCUGUUCUUACUCUGUCUUCUCCCAUGUUUCCGCGUCACUGAGUCAUGGCGAUUCGCAACUCGCUCGCCGGCCGAUUCCUCCGCCGAAGAUCCAUUUCCGGAGAAAGGCUCAUGUCGUCAUGAUUCCGGAGCAUCGAGCCCUAGCCGAUCAGAGUCCAAACAAAGUCAACGUCGGAGUGGGUGCGUAUCGCGAUGACGACGGAAAACCUGUGGUUUUGGAAUGUGUUAGAGAAGCAGAGAGGAGGAUUGCCGGAAGUCAAUUCAUGUAUACUAUAAAAAUACUAUUAGCAUGUAGUUGAAUCAGUGGAAUUGGACCCAUCUCGAAUUAGAUUA
Long non-coding RNA from Glycine soja, 347 nucleotides. RefSeq lists it as uncharacterized. The transcript is spliced from 2 exons. NCBI's taxonomy places the organism in Eukaryota, Viridiplantae, Streptophyta, Magnoliopsida, Fabales, Fabaceae. The record is from RefSeq and is a predicted model, not a curated record.